RNAcentral lists this ribosomal RNA (497 nucleotides) under uncultured bacterium. RNAcentral's name for it is "partial 16S ribosomal RNA". It matches the Rfam family "Bacterial small subunit ribosomal RNA", at positions 28 to 507 of the family's 1533-position model. The record is from RNAcentral.
GAUGAACGCUGGCGGCGUGCCUAAUACAUGCAAGUCGAACGCUGAAGCUUGGUGCUUGCCCCGAGCGGAUGAGUUGCGCACGGGUGAGUAACGCGUAGGUAACCUGCCUCUUAGCGGGGGAUAACUAUUGGAAACGAUAGCUAAUACCGCAUAAAAGUCGAUAUCGCAUGAUAUUGAUGUGAAAGGUGCAAAUGCAUCACUAAGAGAUGGACCUGCGUUGUAUUAGCUAGUUGGUGAGGUAACGGCUCACCAAGGCGACGAUACAUAGCCGACCUGAGAGGGUGGUCGGCCACACUGGGACUGAGACACGGCCCAGACUCCCACGGGAGGGAGCAGGAGGGAAUCGUCGGCAAUGGGGGCAACACUGACCGAGCAACGCCGAGGGAGGGAAGAAGGUUGUCGGAUCGUAAAGCUCGGUUGUAAGAGAAGAACGAGUGUGAGAGUGGAAAGUUCACACUGUGACGGUAACUGACCAGAAAGGGACGGCUAACUACGUG